Homo sapiens (human) is the source of this 349-nucleotide long non-coding RNA. The record is from Ensembl. NCBI's taxonomy places the organism in Eukaryota, Metazoa, Chordata, Mammalia, Primates, Hominidae.
CUGUUCGGUGCCAAGUAGAAUAAUUUCCACCACUUUCCCUGUUCUUCAGUACUACUGCAUAGCCAAGCUGGUUUAUUGUUGCAUAUAAAGUCUGGGCUGUCUUCCGAAGUGCUCUGUUUCAUCAACAGCCGAGGAGAGGAGGGAGUGCUAGGUGGACCAGAUGACUGCAAAGCGUGAGGACCUCGCUUCUCAUGCUGCUUAGAAAGCACAUAGGGGUCCUUGGAGAAGGACUCCCCUGACGCGCCUUUCUUCUCCUCAAAGCCCUCCAUUGGCAGGGGCAAUGUGGGUGAAGGAUGUAAACUGGAAAGGGCUGGCGGCAUGGAGUGAACCAUCUGGAUCCCACCAACGG